GUCCCUUGGGGGACAUCCGAUAAAAUUGGAACGAUACAGAGAAGAUUAGCAUGGCCCCUACGCAAGGAUGACACGCACAAAUCGAGAAAUAGAGGCCAACAUU
Molecule: small nuclear RNA, 103 nt
Filed under: Marchantia polymorpha subsp. ruderalis
Lineage: Eukaryota; Viridiplantae; Streptophyta; Marchantiopsida; Marchantiales; Marchantiaceae
Source: RNAcentral